This 573-nucleotide ribosomal RNA is filed under the name Rhodotorula mucilaginosa. RNAcentral's name for it is "eukaryotic LSU rRNA". It matches the Rfam family "Eukaryotic large subunit ribosomal RNA", at positions 70 to 660 of the family's 3401-position model. Lineage: Eukaryota; Fungi; Basidiomycota; Microbotryomycetes; Sporidiobolales; Sporidiobolaceae. The record is from RNAcentral.
UAGGCAUUCCCUAGUAGCGGCGAGCGAGCGGGAAGAGCUCAAAUUUAUAAUCUGGCACCUUCGGUGUCCGAGUUGUAAUCUCUAGAAAUGUUUUCCGCGUUGGACCGCACACAAGUCUGUUGGAAUACAGCGGCAUAGUGGUGAGACCCCCGUAUAUGGUGCGGACGCCCAGCGCUUUGUGAUACAUUUUCGAAGAGUCGAGUUGUUUGGGAAUGCAGCUCAAAUUGGGUGGUAAAUUCCAUCUAAAGCUAAAUAUUGGCGAGAGACCGAUAGCGAACAAGUACCGUGAGGGAAAGAUGAAAAGCACUUUGGAAAGAGAGUUAACAGUACGUGAAAUUGUUGGAAGGGAAACGCUUGAAGUCAGACUUGCUUGCCGAGCAAUCGGUUUGCAGGCCAGCAUCAGUUUUCCGGGAUGGAUAAUGGUAGAGAGAAGGUAGCAGUUUCGGCUGUGUUAUAGCUCUCUGCUGGAUACAUCUUGGGGGACUGAGGAACGCAGUGUGCCUUUGGCGGGGGUUUCGACCUCUUCACACUUAGGAUGCUGGUGGAAUGGCUUUAAACGACCCGUCUUGACCC